CAAAAACAUCACCUCAUGACACCCAUAAGAGGCCCAGCCUGCCCAGUGACAAUUUUAACGGCCGCGGUAUCCUAACCGUGCAAAGGUAGCGUAAUCACCUGUUUCUUAAUUAGAGACCUGUAUGAAUGGCACCACGAGAGUCCGACUGUCUCCUUUCUCCAGUCAGUGAAACUAAUCUUCCUGUGAAAAAGCAGGGAUCCUCUAACAAGACGAGAAGACCCUUUGGAGCUUAAGACAAAUAAAAUUUUUAUGCCCCCUUUUUACUAAAUACCUCGCGACACCAAAUUUUAAUAGUCUUCGGUUGGGGCAACUACGGAGUAAAAACAACCCUCCAAGAUGCAACGGAGCCCUCCUAAACAAAAAGCCACAGCUUUAUGUAUCAAUAAACUGACAUUAUUAGACCCAAUAUUUUGAUUAACGAACCAAGUUACCCUAGGGAUAACAGCGCAAUCCACUCUGAGAGUCCCUAUCGACGAGUGGGCUUACGACCUCGAUGUUGGAUCAAGGUACCCCAGUGGCGCAACCGCUACUAAAGGUUCGUUUGUUCAACGAUUAAAACCUCACGUGAUCUGAUUUCAGACCGGA
RNAcentral lists this ribosomal RNA (585 nucleotides) under Eleutherodactylus angustidigitorum. Its description in RNAcentral is "partial large subunit ribosomal RNA". It matches the Rfam family "Bacterial large subunit ribosomal RNA", at positions 1808 to 2620 of the family's 2925-position model. The record is from RNAcentral. Lineage: Eukaryota; Metazoa; Chordata; Amphibia; Anura; Eleutherodactylidae.